AAGUACAAAGAAAAAGAGCAAGAAAGAAAAAAAAAAAACGGGAGAAGAAAGAGAAAGGAGGAGCCGAGACAAGAGAAGAGAGGAGAUCGGGAGAACCAUGAGAAGAAGGAGAGGCUUCGGCAGCCACUUAUAUGGGUAGGAGAGAAGAGGAUCUCCAUUGAAGAUGGAAGAGAAGAAGAAGAAGAAGGUAAAAUUUUUCUCUCUCUAAGCUUUAUUCCUUUAUCUUUUGUAAUUGAUGAUUUGGGUUUUUAAUUUGGGAGUUAAAAUCCUAAGAUAUAUGUGAUUUAUAUAGAUUCAUGUAUGGAUUUAGCUAUUUUGGGUGUUGAUUUGGUUUGAAACCAAAAGAAGAGAAAAAUAAAAUUUUUCUAGUUUAGAAACUCAAAAUUUCUAUAUACUUUGAAAUUUCACCGUUUUAAAUCUAUGACUUCUUUUUGCGAUCCGUCAAAAAGGGAUGUUAGAUAUAUGUGUUUAGUAGUUAACCCAAGUGGUAGUACUCAAAAAUGUUGAGUUUACAUGGGGUAGUGACUGAUUUGGUGAAAACAGUUCCGUUUUUACAACCAGAACUGGGCAGAUUCGGGGCAGUCAGUAGCGAGGGCAAUUUCGUCCAGUUUUUGUGCUUUAAAAAUUCUGGGCUUUUGGUAUGUUGUAGUACUCUGAUUUAGCUUUCCAUAGACUCCGGAACGGACUAAUUCCGAUUCCGGAUGAGGUAGUUAUGGCGUUCGGGAGAUGUGUAUCAAAACUGUUAAUCAAAUUCCGAACAGCCACCUUUGUGUAAAUUUCUGGACUGAUGUGUUAUGAUUUUGGAAAAAUGUCGUGAGACAAAAGUUGUAGCCCUGGAAGUUAUCUUCGUGUGGGCUCAAGAAUCGCUCAAAAAUGUUUUAAAACGCGAGAGUUAUGGCUGUUUUAGUGAGGCUGGGUAAAAUAUUUCGAAAAUCAAAAGUGUUCAAAAAAAAUAGGAAAAAUGCGAUGUAUGAAGUGAGACCCGUGAGCAUAGCGUAUGCAAGUUUGUAAUGAAGCUUUGGGUCGGGGUUAAAGUGUUGUAAUGUUUAUAGCAUUUUAGAAUGCUUAAGCAAGUUAUUUAUUAAAAAGGAAAACAAUUGAAAUAAUUGUUUAUUUAUGUGAUUAAUGACUUAAGUUACUUUUAUGUGACUAAUCAUAUGGUAUUGAGAUAUUAUUAGUAGUAUGUGACUGGAAUGUUCUUAAAAGGUUAGUAACCUUGGCGUAAAAUAUUAUUACAUAAUUAAUAAUAUUUGACGGGAGAUUUAAUAAGAGAUUUAUGAUAUUUUUCAAUGUAAUUGUUGAAAUUGAUAUUCAAUGAAGUAUAUUAUGUGUUUGGGCAUAUGAUAGAGAAAUAAUAAGUCAUAAUAAUCUAAUAAAGUCUUAUGGUGCGAAAUUUGACUAUAAGUAAUAUUUUAUGCCAAUAAACUUUCUUUUAGGCAUAAAUAAAGCAAUAAAAAUAUGUAAUAAAUAUAAAUUACAUAUUUAAGCGAAAAAUAUAUAUAUGUUUAUAUAGUUGCCUAUAAAAAUUAUUUUGUGGUGGAACAAAGAAUGUAAAACCUUUGAAAUAUUGUAUUAAUCAUAAAAAUGAUAUUUUGAGGUUUUCGGUGCUCAAAAUGAAGUUUUUGAGCUGAGAUUUACGUAACGAAGCAAAAAUGCGAAUAAUCGUAAAAUGAAAAAUAAAGCGAAUGUGCUAGUGAGAUAAAAUGUUUAUAUAUGAGGCAAUAGUCAGUGUUGACUCAUGAACGGACAAACUGAAGUAAAAGUUAUUUAAAGUGAAGAAAUAAUAUAGUAAAUUGAUUUUUACUAUAAAAGCUAUACAUUAGCUGUUUAAACUCCGAAUUUGCGAGUAGAGGUAAAAGAUAUUUCUGAAAUGAAAUUUAAAUGGUUUAAGUUUCAAGAUGUAAAGUAUUUGCAUCUUAAAAUGUGUGAGACCUUUAUUAUUUAUGAAACAAGUAAAAUAUUAUUACAUGAUUAAUAAUAUUAGAAGGUGAUUACAAUAUUAUUAAAUGAUUAAUAAUAUUAGUAAAGGAUUUAAAUAUUAUUAAAUGAUUAAUAAUAUUUGUAAAUGAUAAAUAUUCUAUAAAAAGAAUAUUAGGCAAAAGUUUAAGAUAAUGGAUAAGUGAUAGUAAUAUUAUUAAGGGAUAAUAAUAUUACUAAUGAGUUAAAGAAUUAUUUAAUGUUUAAUUAUGUGGCUAAAUGUUAGCUAAUUUAUUAUUUGAGUAAUAGUGUUGUGGGAUAAAAUGUAUUAUGCUAAUUGGAGGAUCGAUCUUAUUAAUGAUAGGUCUUUUAUAAGAGAUUAAAUUGAUUGCUUAGCGGUAAUCAACGGUACAGGCAAGUUCCUAAACUUGAACUUCUAAUUAUUGUGCAAGUUUCCUAACUCAACUUGAGUUGUUAAUUCAAAGCAUGUUAGUGGUUAAUCAUUGUUGAUUUUACCACGUCAAUAAAUUAUUGAUUCGCACAUUGUGCAUGUUGUUUAUGUUCAUCAGGUAUGAAAGGCUGAUCACCUUCAUUACCAUAGGUUUCAGUUAAACUUGUUCAUGUUAAUUGUUGACAUCCAAUCUUAUUGGUUCAGUCAUUCAAUCGUUGAAAAAAAUUGAUUCAUGUUAUUUCACAAUUAUUAUAUUGUUGAAAACUUGAAAGCUUAUCCAUUCUUUUCAAUCAUGAUAUAUCUCCUUUGUAUGUAAAACUUGCUGGGCAAAUUUGUUGCUCACCCUUGCUAUAUCAUGAUAAAAUUUUCAGAUUAAGAUGAAAGCUUGAAUAAGGACAGAGGCAAAGACAAAGUGCAAAGUUUCUUUAUGUUGUAGUUAAAUUUAUUAAAUUUUCUGAUGAAAAUAGUAUUGUAAAUCUUCUAAGAUAUUGAAGGUAUGUAUUAAGUUAAGGUUGUAGACCUUGGGAAUGAUGUGUAAAAGUUUAAUGUAUAAACAAUUUAUGUUUAUAUCUUUCGCAAUAGUGAUAGAAAUAGUAUACCGGAUCCGUGGCGAUUUGGGACCCGGAUUCGGGGAUGUUACAGAUUUAAGCAAGCGCCAAGAGCUUGGAAUAGCCGAAUUGAUAAAUAUUUCCAAGACAAUAAUUUUAAAAGAUG
Molecule: long non-coding RNA, 3082 nt
Filed under: Panax ginseng (ginseng)
Lineage: Eukaryota; Viridiplantae; Streptophyta; Magnoliopsida; Apiales; Araliaceae
Description: long non-coding RNA (PGIN_LNC001235)
Source: RNAcentral